UGGUAAUAGGUUAUCACUUUGCAAAUGAAGUAGGCCCGCACUGUGAGAUGAAUCAAGAAACAUGUAAUCUUUACCAGGAAUCCUAAAUAUUCUACAUUGCCCAAAGUGAGAGCAGACGGACGUCAGCCUGUAUGAUAGGUUACAUUCCAGCCUUAACACACACAGGAGAUGAAGGGGAGGGUUUUGAAAUGGUAGGAUUUUUCCCUUAAAUUUGCAUCUCAACAAGGAAACUACUGCAAAAUAGGUGGCAUCCUGUACUAAUGGCAAAGGCUGGCAUUUGUCCCCGCACUAUUUAAAAUUUGUGCUUGUGCAGGUUGGUGAUGUUAUUUCGUCACGCACCGCGGUUGCUGGCUUCUUGGGUCAAGAGACAAACUCUGGUCUUGAUUCAGAGAUCUUGCAAAAGUGCAUGUGAACACAUGGUUUUGUGGAAUGGCGCCAUUUCUCACUGCAAAUUCUGGUUACAAAGGUGAAUGAAUAUAUUCCUAUGUGCUCCUCAAGUGCUGGAAGGAUUCUGAAAUGAUGAUCUGGAUGAUCUUCAUGGCCUUUUCCAACCUUAAUGACGGUAUGAAAUAAAGCUACGUGGAGUCUAUUUUAUAGCUGAUUU
Molecule: long non-coding RNA, 604 nt
Filed under: Phasianus colchicus (ring-necked pheasant)
Lineage: Eukaryota; Metazoa; Chordata; Aves; Galliformes; Phasianidae
Description: lncRNA (ENSPCLG00000006410.1)
Source: RNAcentral